GAUGAACGCUGGCGGCGUGCCUAAUACAUGCAAGUCGAGCGAACGGACGAGAAGCUUGCUUCUCUGAUGUUAGCGGCGGACGGGUGAGUAACACGUGGAUAACCUACCUAUAAGACUGGGAUAACUUCGGGAAACCGGAGCUAAUACCGGAUGAUAUUUUGAACCGCAUGGUUCAAAAGUGAAAGACGGUCUUGCUGUCACUUAUAGAUGGAUCCGCGCUGCAUUAGCUAGUUGGUAAGGUAACGGCUUACCAAGGCAACGAUGCAUAGCCGACCUGAGAGGGUGAUCGGCCACACUGGAACUGAGACACGGUCCCGACUCCUACGGGACGCAGCAGUAGGGAAUCUUCCGCAAUGGGCGAAAGCCUGACGUAGCAACGCCGCGUGAGUGAUGAAGGUCUUCGGAUCGUAAAACUCUGUUAUUAGGGAAGAACAUAUGUGUAAGUAACUGUGCACAUCUUGACGGUACCUAAUCAGAAAGCCACGGCUAACUACGUG
This 497-nucleotide ribosomal RNA is filed under the name uncultured bacterium. RNAcentral's name for it is "partial 16S ribosomal RNA". It matches the Rfam family "Bacterial small subunit ribosomal RNA", at positions 28 to 507 of the family's 1533-position model. The record is from RNAcentral.